This 506-nucleotide ribosomal RNA is filed under the name uncultured bacterium. RNAcentral's name for it is "partial 16S ribosomal RNA". It matches the Rfam family "Bacterial small subunit ribosomal RNA", at positions 29 to 523 of the family's 1533-position model. The record is from RNAcentral.
AGUGAACGCUGGCGGUAGGCCUAACACAUGCAAGUCGAACGGCAGCACAGAGGAGCUUGCUCCUUGGGUGGCGAGUGGCGGACGGGUGAGGAAUACAUCGGAAUCUACUCUGUCGUGGGGGAUAACGUAGGAAAACUUACGCUAAUACCGCAUACGACCUACGGGUGAAAGCAGGGGAUCUUCGGACCUUGCGCGAUUGAAUGAGCCGAUGUCGGAUUAGCUGGUUGGCGGGGUAAAGGCCCACCAAGGGGACGAUCCGUAGCUGGUCUGAGAGGAAGAGCAGCCACACUGGAACUGAGACACGGUCCAGACUCCUACGGGAGGCAGCAGUGGGGAAUAUUGGGCAAUGGGCGCAAGCCUGAUCCAGCCAUACCGCGUGGGUGAAGAAGGCCUUCGGGUUGUAAAGCCCUUUUGUUGGGAAAGAAAUCCAUCUGGUUAAUACCCGGGUGGGAUGACGGUACCCAAAGAAUAAGCACCGGCUAACUUCGUGCCAGCCGCCGCAGUAA